RNAcentral lists this ribosomal RNA (502 nucleotides) under uncultured bacterium. RNAcentral's name for it is "partial 16S ribosomal RNA". It matches the Rfam family "Bacterial small subunit ribosomal RNA", at positions 30 to 523 of the family's 1533-position model. The record is from RNAcentral.
AUUGAACGCUGGCGGCAUGCUUAACACAUGCAAGUCGAACGGCAGCACAGUGUGUAGCAAUACACAUGGGUGGCGAGUGGCGGACGGGUGAGUAACGCGUAGGAAUCUGCCUUGAAGCGGGGGACAACCCGAGGAAACUCGGGCUAAUACCGCAUAAUAUCGUGAGAUUAAAGCUGGGGCAACCUGGCACUUAAAGAGGAGCCUGCGUCCGAUUAGCUAGUUGGUAGGGUAAAAGCCUACUAAGGCGAUGAUCGGUAGCUGGUCUGAGAGGAUAAUAGGCCACACUGUGACGGGGACACGGCGCGGACGGCUACGGGAGGCAGCAGUGGGGAAUAGUGGACAAUGGGGGCAACCCUGAUCCAGCAAUGCCGCGUGUGUGAAGAUGGCCUUCGGGUUGUAGAGCACUUUUGGCAGGGAGGAAGGUGUAGAGUUUAAGAGACACUACAUUUGACGGUACCUGCAGAAUAAGCACCGUCUAACUCUGUGCCAGCGGCCGCCGUAA